GACGAACGCUGGCGGCGUGCUUAACACAUGCAAGUCGAACGGAAAGGCCCUGAUUUUGUGCGGUGCUCGAGUGGCGAACGGGGGAGUAACACGUGAGUAUCCUGCCCUUGUCAUUCGGAUAACUUCAGGAAACUCGGGCUAAUAUAGGGUAGGAGAUCCUGCUGCAUGUUGGGGGUCGGAAAGAUUCGGCGGUUGGGGAUGGACUAGCGGCUUAUGAGCUGGUUGGUGGGGUAGUGGAGUACCAAGGCUUUGACGGGUAGCCGGCCUGAGAGGGUGACCGGCGACAUGGGGACUGAGGUACGGCGCAGACUCCUACGGGAGGCAGCAGUGGGGAAUAUGGCACAAUGGGCGGAAGCCUGAUGCAGCAACGCCGCGUGCGGGAUGACGGCCUUCGGGUUGUAAACCGCUUUGGCCUGUGACGAAGCGUGAGUGACGGUAAUGGGUAAAGAAGCACCGGCUAACUACGUG
Molecule: ribosomal RNA, 468 nt
Filed under: uncultured bacterium
Lineage: Bacteria
Description: partial 16S ribosomal RNA
Rfam family: Bacterial small subunit ribosomal RNA
Source: RNAcentral